AGAGUUUGAUCCUGGCUCAGGAUGAACGCUAGCGGCAGGCCUAAUACAUGCAAGUCGGACGGGAUUGGAGAGCUUGCUUUCCAUGAGAGUGGCGCACGGGUGCGUAACACGUAUGUAACCUACCUUGAUCAGGGGGAUAGCCUCUCGAAAGAGAGAUUAAGACCGCAUAAAGUUGUGAUAUGGCAUCAUAUUAUAACCAAAUAUUUAUAGGAUCAAGAUGGGCAUGCGGAACAUUAGCUAGUUGGUAAGGUAACGGCUUACCAAGGCUACGAUGUUUAGGGGAUCUGAGAGGAUGACCCCCCACACUGGUACUGAGACACGGACCAGACUCCUACGGGAGGCAGCAGUAAGGAAUAUUGGUCAAUGGACGCAAGUCUGAACCAGCCAUGCCGCGUGCAGGAAGACGGCCCUACGGGUUGUAAACUGCUUUUAUACCGGAAUAAACCUUGAUACGUGUAUCAAGCUGAAUGUACGG
This 475-nucleotide ribosomal RNA is filed under the name Pedobacter sp. RX99. RNAcentral describes it as "bacterial SSU rRNA". It matches the Rfam family "Bacterial small subunit ribosomal RNA", at positions 8 to 480 of the family's 1533-position model. The record is from RNAcentral. Lineage: Bacteria; Pseudomonadati; Bacteroidota; Sphingobacteriia; Sphingobacteriales; Sphingobacteriaceae.